UGGGGAAUAUUGGACAAUGGGGGCAACCCUGAUCCAGCCAUGCCGCGUGUGUGAAGAAGGCCUUCGGGUUGUAAAGCACUUUAAGUGGGGAGGAAGGGGUCAACGCUAAUACCGUUGAUCAUUGACGCUACCCACAGAAUAAGCACCGGCUAACUCUGUGCCAGCAGCCGCGGUAAUACAGAGGGUGCAAGCGUUAAUCGGAAUUACUGGGCGUAAAGCGCGCGUAGGCGGCUGAUUAAGUCGGGUGUGAAAGCCCCGGGCUCAACCUGGGAAUUGCAUCCGAUACUGAUUGGCUAGAGUAUGAGAGAGGGAGGUAGAAUUCCACGUGUAGCGGUGAAAUGCGUAGAUAUGUGGAGGAAUACCGGUGGCGAAGGCGGCCUCCUGGCUUAAUACUGACGCUGAGGUGCGAAAGCGUGGGGAUCAAAC
RNAcentral lists this ribosomal RNA (426 nucleotides) under uncultured bacterium. Its description in RNAcentral is "bacterial SSU rRNA". It matches the Rfam family "Bacterial small subunit ribosomal RNA", at positions 355 to 773 of the family's 1533-position model. The record is from RNAcentral.